This 367-nucleotide transfer-messenger RNA is filed under the name Saprospiraceae. RNAcentral's name for it is "UBA3362 sp016712225 Standard tmRNA". It matches the Rfam family "transfer-messenger RNA". Rfam says of the family: Bacterial tmRNA, also known as 10Sa RNA or SsrA, is named for its dual tRNA and mRNA-like properties. Its role is to liberate the mRNA from a stalled ribosome. To accomplish this part of the tmRNA is used as a reading frame that ends in a translation stop signal. RNAcentral also lists the same sequence under 1 other name. The record is from RNAcentral. Lineage: Bacteria; Pseudomonadati; Bacteroidota; Saprospiria; Saprospirales.
GGGGCUGAAUGGAAUCGACAGGAAACGCGGUCAUUCAGUAAGCAUGCCGUAGGAUGAUAGCUCACUACGUUAAAAAUGGAUAUCGAAUUACAACUGGCAAUACAUCUUUUGCCUUGGCUGCUUAAUCUUAGAGAUUAAGACGCCUUUGUGCCCCAGAAUUGACGUCCGAUAGGUACUGGCUGCACAUCAUAAAACUUCGGUCUAGUUCAAAGUAAGUCCCGGGCGGCGAACGAAAUUAAGGGAAUACGAACUUGAAAGGUCGUGAUAUUACCUCCUCAAGUUCCGACAAUCAAAGAUAUCACUAAGCAUGUAGAAAGCGGUUUGGUACUUUCUCUGGACCAGGGUUCGAAUCCCUGCAGCUCCACUG